GGCAAGGAAAAGAAAUCUAUCACUGCUACCUGCUACCCCGAUACUAAAACAUCCAGCAAAUUUUAACUUUUCAUCGAUCUCGCAAUUUAGUUGAUAAAGUUAUUCGAACGCGUACAGAAGUGUAAAAGUGAAUCCAAUAUUCGAACAAAUAAAACACGGAAGCACAAAAAAACUUUGGUGAUUUUUCUUUUGCCACAAGUGAGUGCAAAAGAAAAAGUCCCAAACCCCACCAUAUAGACAACACUUUUGCAGUGUAUUGAGAUGCAAAGUUACGGUGGAGCACCAGCGUCAGCUGCUCCCCAACAACUACCUUAUAAAGAACAACAGCCCCAAAGAAAUCUCUAUGACGCAACGCUGCGUAAUAGCAGCGAAGGCCAGCAGCACGCAGGCGGAGUGAUUCGGGGUAGCAGCAACAGCAGCGGUGAAAAUUCGCGUUGCGAAAGUGAUGAUGAAUAUAAUAGAAACCAGCCAAGGUCAGCGGCGACAGCGCCAUUGACCGCCGCUACAGCUGGUUGUGCUGUUGGUAUAGAGGCGGCCAAUGAGGGGCCAAACGUGUUUGCGCCUCAUAGAGCACAUAGCACUGGUGGCGUUGAAGCCAGUGAAUUGCCCUCAAGUUCCAAUAACAUGGAAGGUUCUUCGCCUAUGGCCUCUUACAACGAGGAAAGGAUGCGUCGUAAAUUGCAAUUUUUCUUUAUGAAUCCGAUUGAAAAGUGGCAAGCGCGCCGUAAAUUUCCAUACAAAUUUGUUGUGCAGGUGGUGAAGAUCAUAUUGGUGACAGUGCAGCUGUGCCUAUUCGCGCAUUCACGCUACAAUCACAUCAACUACACCUGGGAUAAUCGCAUUGCCUUUUCGCAUCUAUUUUUGCGCGGCUGGGACUCUUCUCGUGAAGUGGAAUCCUACCCGCCUUCUGUAGGCCCCUUUGCGCUCUACGAAAAAUCCGAUUUCUAUGACACCAUCGACUAUGCGGUGCGCGGUUAUGCCAACAUGAGUCGUUCCAUCGGCCCCUAUGAUUACCCGACCGACAACAACGAGAUGGCCCCUCUGCAUCUCUGCCUCUACAAUUAUCGCGAAGGCACAAUUUUCGGUUUCAAUGAGUCGUACAUUUUCAAUCCGGACAUCACUGAGUUCUGUCUGUAUUUGCCGCCAAAUGUGACCAAGAUCGGUGUGCAGGCGUACCUCAAGCAAAGCGGCGUCGAGUUGAGUUUCUCUUCGUUGGUCAGGGCGACGCUGGUAUUCGCCAUCAAGACGGUCAAUUUUAAGGCUUACGGCGGGCCGUUGUCCGCGCCCGAUUGCUUCAAGUUCGAUGUGAGCAUAAUCUUCGACAAUCGCGAUCACGACGGACAAAUGCUGCUUUCCCUCGAUGCGGAUGCGCAGCGUUUGCGCUGCAAAGGCGAUGUUGAGUUCAUUUCGAAUGCAGAAUUUGAUGCGGCUUUGCGCAGUAUGUUGAACAUCCUGGUGCUAAUGGUGUGUUUACUGUCCUUUGCGCUGUGCUCCCGCGCGCUGUAUCGCGCCUACUUGCUGCGCUGCCAGACGGUGAACUUCUUCCGUAUGCACUUCAACAAGGAGCUGAGCUUCGACGGUCACAUGGAGUUUGUGAAUUUUUGGUACGUAAUGAUCAUCAUCAACGAUUUGCUGCUCAUCAUUGGCUCGUCACUGAAGGAGCAAAUCGAACGCAAAUUUCUAGUCGUCGAUCAAUGGGACACCUGCUCACUCUUCCUAGGCAUCGGUAAUUUGCUGGUGUGGUUCGGCGUGCUGCGCUAUCUGGGCUUCUUCAAGACCUACAACGUCGUCAUACUCACACUGAAGAAAGCCGCGCCGAAAAUCCUACGCUUCCUGCUCGCAGCGCUACUCAUCUAUGCCGGUUUUACAUUCUGCGGCUGGCUCAUACUCGGCCCCUACCAUAUGAAGUUCCGCUCGCUCGCUACCACCUCGGAGUGUCUUUUCGCGUUAAUUAAUGGUGAUGACAUGUUUGCCACCUUCGCGACACUCUCAUCAAAGGCCGACUGGCUGUGGUGGUUCUGCCAAAUCUACUUGUACUCCUUCAUUUCGCUGUACAUUUAUGUCGUGCUAUCGCUCUUCAUCUCAGUUAUUAUGGAUGCAUAUGACACGAUCAAGUGCUACUAUCGUGACGGCUUCCCCAUUUCGGAUCUGAAAGCGUUCGUGGGCACGCGCAACGAGGAGGAUCUCAGAUCAGGUGUGUUCAUGAGCAACAUGGAUGACUUUGAUGGGAACGGUUUGCUAGAUGUGCUACGCCAAGUCUGUUGUUGUGGGCGUUAUCGGGGGGACAGUGGCGGUACAAGUGGCAGCAACGGACCCUCUGGGUACACCAGUCUAACGAGUAUUAUCAAGUGAUUGAAUGUUUGUUGAGAAUAUUGAUGAUGUACAUUCAAUUGGAACUGUACUGAUGAAUGAGACGACGACGACGACCACGAACGAACGGAGUACGAAUUGACGCUUGGAAUGUGUUGUCACAUCGCCGCUGCUGAUUUGCUGAAAUGCUAUGUUUGCAAGCGUUGUUCAUGGCAUGCAUUAGCUGAUUCAUUUGUGUUUAUGAGACGCGCGUCUGAUGAAUGUUUAUUGGUCAUGAAAUAAAUGAAAAUCAGUCCACGAUUUAUUCAGAUGUAUGUAUGUUUGUACGCAAAACAAUACAUAUACAGAUGUAUAUACAUAGGUCUAAGUAUAUAUUUGUAAUUGAACGGAAAGAAGUACAUAUAUGCAUACAUAUAUGAAAAAUAUGUAGUUUAAAUAAAAUUAUACAUAUAAUCUA
This 2767-nucleotide unclassified non-coding RNA is filed under the name Rhagoletis pomonella (apple maggot). RNAcentral describes it as "mucolipin-3-like, transcript variant X3". The record is from RNAcentral. Lineage: Eukaryota; Metazoa; Arthropoda; Insecta; Diptera; Tephritidae.